RNAcentral lists this ribosomal RNA (402 nucleotides) under uncultured archaeon. RNAcentral describes it as "bacterial SSU rRNA". It matches the Rfam family "Archaeal small subunit ribosomal RNA", at positions 321 to 727 of the family's 1478-position model. The record is from RNAcentral.
CCCUAUGGGGUGCAGCAGGCGCGAAAACUUUACCAUGCGGGCAACCGUGAUAAGGAAACCCCGAGUGCCAGCACAGGCUGGCUGUCCGCCAGUUUAAAUAACUGGUGAAGAAAGGGCCGGGCAAGACCGGUGCCAGCCGCCGCGGUAAUACCGGCGGCUCGAGUGGUGGCCGCUAUUACUGGGCUUAAAGGGUCCGUAGCUUGAUAACUGGGUCCCUUGAGAAAUCCGCCAGCUUAACUGGCGGGCGUUCAGGGGAAACUUGUUUUCUAGGGACCGGGAGAGGUGAGGGGUACUGCCGGGGUAGGAGUGAAAUCCUGUAAUCCCGGUGGGACCACCUAUGGCGAAGGCAUCUCACCAGAACGGGUCCGACAGUGAGGGACGAAAGCUGGGGGAGCAAACCGG